This is a long non-coding RNA of Dreissena polymorpha, 120 nucleotides long. RefSeq lists it as uncharacterized. Lineage: Eukaryota; Metazoa; Mollusca; Bivalvia; Myida; Dreissenidae. The transcript has 3 exons. The record is from RefSeq and is a predicted model, not a curated record.
GUCUAGUCAGGGGUACAGUGUAUGCUGUAUAGUGACACUAGGACCAGCCUGCACAAUCAUAUAGCCUAGUCAGGGGUACAGUGUAUGCUGUAUAGUAACACUAGGUCCAGCCUGCACAAU